Molecule: ribosomal RNA, 477 nt
Filed under: uncultured bacterium
Lineage: Bacteria
Description: partial 16S ribosomal RNA
Rfam family: Bacterial small subunit ribosomal RNA
Source: RNAcentral
AUGAACGCUGGCGGCGUGCCUAACACAUGCAAGUCGAACGGAGUCCAGCCUUUAAGACCUUCGGGUCAAAGAGGGGAAGACUGAGUGGCGGACGGGUGAGUAAGACGUGGGCAACCUGGCUCAUAGAGGGGGAUAACAGAGAGAAAUUUCUGCUAAUACCGCAUAAGCACACACUGCCGCAUGGCAGAGGGUGAAAAGAGAAUCGCUAUGAGAUGGACCCGCGUCUGAUUAGCCAGUUGGCAGGGUAAGAGCCUACCAAAGCGACGAUCAGUAGCCGAUCUGAGAGGAUGAACGGCCACAUUGGGACUGAGACACGGCCCAAACUCCUACGGGAGGCAGCAGUGGGGGAUAUUGCACAAUGGGGGGAACCCUGAUGCAGCGACGCCGCGUGAGUGAAGAAGUAUUUCGGUAUGUAAAGCUCUAUCAGCAGGGAAGAUAAUGACAGUACCUGAAUAAGAAGCCCCGGCUAACUACGUG